AAGACCUUGCGCUUUUGGAGCGGCCGAUGUCUGAUUAGCUUGUUGGUGAGGUAAAGGCUUACCAAGGCUUCGAUCAGUAGCUGGUCUGAGAGGACGGCCAGCCACACUGGGACUGAGACACGGCCCAGACUCCUACGGGAGGCAGCAGUGGGGAAUUUUGGACAAUGGGGGCAACCCUGAUCCAGCCAUGCCGCGUGAGUGAAGAAGGCCUUCGGGUUGUAAAGCUCUUUCAGCCGGAACGAAACGGUUACGGUUAAUACCCGUGACUACUGACGGUACCGGAAGAAGAAGCACCGGCUAACUACGUGCCAGCAGUCGCGGUAAUACGUAGGGUGCAAGCGUUAAUCGGAAUUACUGGGCGUAAAGCGUGCGCAGGUGGUUUUGUAAGUCAGAUGUGAAAUCCCCGGGCUUGACCUGGGAACU
Molecule: ribosomal RNA, 423 nt
Filed under: uncultured bacterium
Lineage: Bacteria
Description: bacterial SSU rRNA
Rfam family: Bacterial small subunit ribosomal RNA
Source: RNAcentral